RNAcentral lists this long non-coding RNA (772 nucleotides) under Bos indicus x Bos taurus (hybrid cattle). RNAcentral describes it as "lncRNA (ENSBIXG00000005514.1)". Lineage: Eukaryota; Metazoa; Chordata; Mammalia; Artiodactyla; Bovidae. The record is from RNAcentral.
GUGGGCUAUAGUCCAUGCGGUCACAGAAGAGUUAGACACGACUUAGUGAGUAAACAACAAUAACCGAAAAUAAUAGCCUCUUUCUGUUCUAUUUCCAGGCUCUAUCCUACCAGAGCGUUUAUCUACCCAACAACUGGGCUGGGGGAGUAGUAGUGUCUCCAUAGCAUAAACGAGGAAACUGUGAUUCAGAGAGGCUAAGUAAACUGCCUGAUGCCACACAGCAACAUGCAGUGAUGAAUAUGAGUUUCAAACUUGGAUUUGUCUGGCUCCAAAAUCUCUGUCUUCUAUAACAGUAAAACAAAGGAGGAGAAGAACGAGAGGUGGUACGCCUAGAUGGCCAGGUAAAAAUGGAGCACUGACAAGCAAGCCCCAAGGAAAUGUGUAACCUCCACAGGAUGUUUUAUUAUUGGCUUGGGAGGAAGUGAUGAGAAAUUGAAGUACAGAGAUGUUUUUUUGUCCUAUGUGACUAUGGCCAUCCCAGUGCUGGUAAUGAUGGGGUGAAGGUGUAUUCUCAACAGGUAGACUCCAGGGCCUGCCCCACUUCUGUGGAAGUGAUCCUGGCACAGUGAAGCCAUACGAACUGGCAGAGGCUUCGGAUCAGCCAUACCACAAAGGAUGCUGCUUUUCCUAGCAGGGGCCCUAGGGAAUUUUCUGAAAGAACCAGGACUUGACACUGAUACAGGGAAGUUUUGUAUACCCUGAGGUCUUAUCAGUAAGAGAAAUAACUAAAUAGGGCUGAAUAAAGUGAUCGCAUUGGUCCUCUUCUACUCCA